CAUUUUUGGUAAGCAGAAC
RNAcentral lists this small nuclear RNA (19 nucleotides) under Arabidopsis thaliana (thale cress). RNAcentral describes it as "snRNA_16251". The record is from RNAcentral. Lineage: Eukaryota; Viridiplantae; Streptophyta; Magnoliopsida; Brassicales; Brassicaceae.